Molecule: ribosomal RNA, 482 nt
Filed under: uncultured Nitrosococcus sp.
Lineage: Bacteria; Pseudomonadati; Pseudomonadota; Gammaproteobacteria; Chromatiales; Chromatiaceae
Description: bacterial SSU rRNA
Rfam family: Bacterial small subunit ribosomal RNA
Source: RNAcentral
CUCAAAGGAAUUGACGGGGCCCGCACAAGCGGUGGAGCAUGUGGUUUAAUUCGAUGCAACGCGAAGAACCUUACCAGGCCUUGACAUCCUCGGAACUUUCCAGAAAUGGAUUGGUGCCUUCGGGAACCGAGAGACAGGUGCUGCAUGGCUGUCGUCAGCUCGUGUCGUGAGAUGUUGGGUUAAGUCCCGUAACGAGCGCAACCCUUGUUACUAGUUGCCAGCGGGUAAAGCCGGGGACUCUAGUAAGACUGCCAGUGAUAAGCUGGAGGAAGGCGGGGAUGACGUCAAGUCCUCAUGGCCCUUAUGGGUAGGGCAACACACGUGCUACAAUGGUUGUCACAGAGGGAAGCGAAGCCGCGAGGUGGAGCGAAACCGGGAAAGGCAAUCGUAGUCCGGAUUGCAGUCUGCAACUCGACUGCAUGAAGCUGGAAUCGCUAGUAAUCGCGGAUCAGCAUGCCGCGGUGAAUACGUUCACAGGCCUU